This 279-nucleotide ribosomal RNA is filed under the name uncultured bacterium. Its description in RNAcentral is "partial 16S ribosomal RNA". It matches the Rfam family "Archaeal small subunit ribosomal RNA", at positions 456 to 735 of the family's 1478-position model. The record is from RNAcentral.
UGCCAGCAGCCGCGGUAAUACCGGCGCCUCAGGUGGUAGUCGCUUUUAUUGGGCCUAAAACGCCCGUAGCCGGUCUGAUACAUUCGUGGGUAAAUCAACCAGCUUAACUGGUUGAAUUCUGCGAGGACGGUCAGACUUGGGACCGGGAGAGGUGUGGGGUACGCUCAGGGUAGGGGUAAAAUCCUGUCAUCCUGAGCGGACCACCUGUUGCGAAGGCGCCACACUAGAACGGAUCCGACGGUCAGGGACGAAGCCUAGGGGCACGAACCGGAUUAGAUA